This 251-nucleotide non-coding RNA is filed under the name Carnobacterium divergens. The record is from RNAcentral. Lineage: Bacteria; Bacillati; Bacillota; Bacilli; Lactobacillales; Carnobacteriaceae.
UAUAAAACAAUGACAGAAAAAAAGUAAGUAGUAUGGACUCCGUAAGGUAGAGACAAAUGGCGUGGCUGAAACCAUUUGAAAGGAAUCAGAUACUGGUGAAUAUUCACUUCUCGAGUUGACUUUUGGCUAUUGCAAAUUGUAAUGAAAGAAGUUCCGGCAUUAGCCGUUAUCUAAAUGAAGUGCAGUCUAGUUGCUAUUAUGCAAUUAACUGAACAAGGGUGGUACCGCGAUUCUAAGACCUCGUCCCUUUC